AUUGAACGCUGGCGGCAUGCCUUACACAUGCAAGUCGAACGGCAGCACGGGAGCAAUCCUGGUGGCGAGUGGCGAACGGGUGAGUAAAGUAUCGGAACGUGCCCGAUCGUGGGGGAUAACGCAGCGAAAGCUGCGCUAAUACCGCAUACGAUCCGAGGAUGAAAGCGGGGGACCGUAAGGCCUCGCGCGAUCGGAGCGGCCGAUGUCAGAGUAGGUAGUUGGUGGGGUAAAGGCUCACCAAGCCGACGAUCUGUAGCUGGUCUGAGAGGACGACCAGCCACACUGGGACUGAGACACGGCCCAGACUCCGACGGGAGGCAGCAGUGGGGAAUUUUGGACAAUGGGCGAAAGCCUGAUCCAGCCAUGCCGCGUGCAGGAUGAAGGCCGUCGGGUUGUAAACUGCUUUUGUACGGAGCGAAAAGGUUUGGCCUAAUAAGCUGAGCUCAUGACGGUACCGUAAGAAUAAGCACCGGCUAACUACGUGCCAGCCGCCGCAGUAA
RNAcentral lists this ribosomal RNA (500 nucleotides) under uncultured bacterium. RNAcentral's name for it is "partial 16S ribosomal RNA". It matches the Rfam family "Bacterial small subunit ribosomal RNA", at positions 29 to 523 of the family's 1533-position model. The record is from RNAcentral.